RNAcentral lists this non-coding RNA (893 nucleotides) under Pan troglodytes (chimpanzee). The record is from RNAcentral. Lineage: Eukaryota; Metazoa; Chordata; Mammalia; Primates; Hominidae.
AAUCACAGCUGGAUGCAAAACGUUCGAAACGUUAACGAUGCCCCUACAGAUUUAGGAGUAACAAGGCGGCUCUCACGAGAUGCUAGACAGAUCAAACAGAAAGGUGGAUAUUUGGAAAGAACAGUCUUCUCCCACUGAUGAGGUAAACCUCGAGACCAAUCCAGAAAUAAAUUGCCAAGCUUCUAUCAAAUAAUUCAAAAAGAGAUCCAGGACUCUUGAUGAUACACUUGAGGUCACUAAAUAUGAAAGAUGAUAGCAUCUUGGAAGGCAACAGCAGAGGAAAGGAGAAUUUUCACAGGGAAGAAGAAAGAGUUGGUGAAAGUGAAAUUGCUUUAACAAAAUAAUGAUCUCUAUACCUCCUACUCGAAAUGUGGUUUGAAGGACAGUAUCAUCAGCAUUACUUGGAGCUUGUGAGAAAUUUAGAAUUUCAAGGCCCCCUCGACCCCAACUUACUGGUGCAAACUCUGUAUUGUAACCCGAUCCCCAAGGUGAUUCUAGUGUACAUUAAAGUGUGAGUCUUGUUAUGAAUGGAUUCUUAUAGUGCUGCAAUUUAGAACAUCUUUUAAUAAUUAUAAAGACAAUUUUGUGUCUCUUGUAUCGGAAAUAAGUAUUAAAGGCAAAAUAUAUAUUGAUAUCAUGGCACUGUUCUUAAGGAAUUAACAUCCAGAUGAAUUAUUUUGCAUCUUUUCAUUGGAAAUAAAAAGCCCGGGGCUGGGUGGCGGGCGAAAGAAUCAGAGAGCUCUGAUCAGUGUGUAGAUGUAUCAAUAUCUAUUUAAUAUGUACUCCAGCAGAGAGUCCAGGCUUUAAAUCAUUGGAAGCAAUCUCUCAAUUUUUAUUCUCAACAUGUUUCACCUUUAGGCAAUAUUACAAUAAAAUUCUCUGUGGGUUUGUAA